Vicugna pacos (alpaca) is the source of this 3593-nucleotide non-coding RNA. NCBI's taxonomy places the organism in Eukaryota, Metazoa, Chordata, Mammalia, Artiodactyla, Camelidae. The record is from RefSeq and is a predicted model, not a curated record.
GAGUGCUCUUCAGAUCCCUCCAUCUGGCUUAGGUCGUAGAUGAAAGUCCCAGUUACAAUGAAACAAAUAAUUUCAUAAACACAGUGGGGGAGAUUUUUUUUUUUCUCUACAGUGUUCAGGGUACUUUCUGAACAAAUUUUAAUGUAAAUGCCUUUGGAUGUAAACAACAUAGAAAAGCUAGAAACCAUAGUUUUCAGAUUCAUGUAAGAAAAUCAUGGGCUCUGGAGGCGGAGGACAAAAAAUUGAGAGAGGAAAGGAAAAGCUAUCACUUGAUGUUGACCCUUUUACUGAGAUAAGGUGCAAAACAGAAAUAUUCCUCAUAGAGAGUGACAAGUCCACUUACUUAAUUCAUUACUUAUUUUACUUAUUGGAGAAGCUGCUUAUUAGCCUCUGGGCAUAUUGACAAGUGUGAUAGAGAAAAGGCAGUCCCUGCCAUCACAGUUUACAAUCCACAAUAGAUAAUAUACAAACAGGACGCGGUGUUUUUGCAGACAGACACUUGCAUCAGAUACCCUUUAAACGCACAAGAGGAAAGCAGUGAACGUGCACGUGAAGUCACUAGGGUAAAUCAACUUCUGUAGUGAAAGAAGGCAAAUAGUACGCGUCAAGGAACUGGAAACGAGUCUGAGCCACGUUUGACCGUUCUCCACAGUUAACGACAUUAUUCUGGGAGCCAGUGUGACUGCAGCGGAGUCAGGGACUGGGCGCGCCGUGUCGAGACUCGCUGCUUCCCUACGUUGAGGCUGGGCAACACGCAGCAACAGCCCUCACCUUCAUGGGCCGUCAGUCGGGGAGAGGCAAACGGGAGACUUGGCGUCAGCCACAAAUCACGGCCCGUUGUUGGAUUCCGUCUGACCCUUAGCAUCGUUUUAUCUGAGUCCUCUCGGAUUUAAUGUGAUUCCCUUCACGCCACCCUUCCCUCUGGACAAAUACUGAUAUUGUUAUCAUGGUCAUCAUGAUGACUUGGGGCCGACCUAAUACCCUUCUGCCUCCAAACCACAGGACCUUGCCAUGGCCCGGGCGUUCAGAGCCAUCGCAGCGCCUCGUUGACCCGGCUGUACUGGAGCUGAAGCUCCACAGAAGGGAAGCCUCCUUUAGUGCCCCGCCUGCCCUUGCCCCCCCCCACCCUUUGUCUUCAUUGGGGCUUUUUUAACCCCCUGUGGUGCUGCCCCUUCUCCCAAGGAAUUACAAUCCCCAAUAUCCUGGUUUCAGAGGGCGGUAGGGAAGAAGUUGGGCUCCAGUUCGGAGAGGUGAGACCUGUGCACCUGUGCUCAGGUUCACAGCAGGCUUUCCUCCUGCUGGACCCGGGAGUGGGAGAAAAGCCAAAAUCUCCAACCUCCAGUGUACAGGUCUCCGUAAUCCACGGGCAAUUUCAGGAAUUAUAGACGUCCUCUCGGUGUAGGAUGGGCAGAAUGCCCGCCAGGGGUUCGAUGCUGCUCAAGCCCUGUGUUUGGGUUUUUUCUCUACCCAUUGCUUUAUAUCAACCCCUCAGAUACACUUAUAACGAGGCUUUUCUAAUGAUGAGGAGACGGGGAAGAAUCAGUGGUGUGGACACAUUAGCCACACAGGAUGUGUGUGGUCUAGAGAACGUGUAACCGUGAAUUUACGGUUGCUCUCCACCAGCCUGAUGGUGGUGGGAAGGUGAAAAUGGGGGAAGUGGGGAGGGCAUGGCUCAGUGGUAGAGUGUGUGCCUAGCAUGCACAAGGUCCUGGGUUCAAUCCCUUGUACUUCCACUAAAAAUAAAGAAAUAAAAACCUAAUGCCCUCUCUCCCCUCAAAGAAACAAACAAACAAAAAUGGAGGCGGAAAAUGAUGUUAUUAAGGAUGGCUCUGGGAAUGACCUAAAAGGUGGAAAAUUGAUUUUAUGGUGCUUGGACCCUAAAUCUGCUCAUACAGGGUGAAGAACUAGAAGAAACUUUAGAAAUCCCCAGCCGCUUUGUUUUACAGAGAAGAACACCCAGAGUGGGUAUUAACUCAUACAGUUAGUUACAACUGGGACUCAGAACCAGUUUUUCCUGGUAUCAGUUCCACAGUACCACACCCUCAGUGUAGAAUGUCCACAAAUGAAUGGCGUUGACUUUUUCUUGCUUUUCAGAGCCACCUCUCUCUCUCCCUUUAUAUUAUUCAUGCUCACAUCAUUUCCUAUUACUAGUGUUUUCAUUGCUAGGACCAUUUGGCUAUCAUUCAAGGAUCCCCCGCUUGGGUUGUUUCUUGAGUCUGGUAGAAUUUGAAUGGAAUUGAUGGAGUUCGUGAUCACCUAGGAGGUGAGAGCAGGGCUCUGGCUCUGACUGCCAGGGUUCGAAUCCCAGCUCUCCCAUUUACAUGCUGGGUGACAUGGGCGUGUUAUUGGACCCCUUUGCCUCAGCAUCCUAAUCCGUUUAAUAGGAAGAAUGACAGAAGUAUCUGCUUCGUAAGUCUCUCUGCCACAGGUAAUAUAGCCAAAGCCAAUGAAACAGUGCCUGGCGCAUGUUAAGCCUCAUAGUAUGUUUUUGGUUUUGUUAUUUAUUUCCUUCAUCCUCCAGCGGUGACCUCGAGCUACCUAAAAGGUUGUAUAAGUUAACCUCCCACUUAAAGGGGGAAGGGGCCCGUCUGUAACAGUCCUGGAUGACGGAACCUAGCUCUGUGUGGCUCCUCUCCUUGAAAGCCAGCUCACCACCCCCUGUAAUCCUCAUCUUCAUGCGUCUGCGUGGCUCACCGAGUGUUCCUCCUGGUUUCUUAGAGCUUAUGAUUAUGGGCUGCUGGGAGAUUCAGCCAGUGGCUCCUUCAGGGAUGUGGUGGCCAUGUGUUUUCUGAGGGCAGAGGGCAGUGUCUGGUUGUCCACUGGCCCCGCUGGGUUCUGCACCUGCUGGGGCUCACCUUGGCCUAAAGGAUGAUUGUGCUGAAGCACUGAUCCAGGUGAGCUGUGGAAAACAGAAUUUACCAUUUCUUUCUUCUUCUCGCCUUAGGCGUAAUAUUAUUUCAUGAAGGCUUUGAAAAGAGAGUGCUUUUUGAACUUGACUUACUGGUGAACCUGUCUGGCCCAGACUGCCCUGGCAGCGCUCAGUAUCCGCUCUUCCCUUCCUCCUGUAACGCUGUUUGGAUUCUGUUUUUGGAAUAUGAGUUGCCCAAAUGUGUUGUAGUGUGUGUUGGACGACUGUAAGCUCAAAAGGGAGGCGUCAGCUUUUUGUUAAUACACCGCUGUCCUCUGGGCGCAAACUUUGUUUCACGUUACACAACAGUGGGAGGUCAGGACUCCCUGGGACAUUGUUUAAGGUCUUUGUUUUGGGGGUUUGUAUUUUUCAGAGAACGGUACCUCUUUGUGAUUUUCUAGCCUGUCGGGACUUGGAAAGGCCCAGACAUUUGGGGUGGGGACCUGCUGCUCUCAGUUUCUGGGAGAGCAUGGUGUUCCUUGCACUUUGUUGAACGUAGUUCUGUAUGGAUCCGUCCGCUGGCCCCCAGCCUCCUCUCAGCCUCCUAGGUGACAAGAGGCGGUGAUGUCUGUCUUUAGAGAUGGCAACUGUGGGCAGGAGUUAGCUCUUAGGCUGCAAAUAUGCUGAGUGAGCCUCCUUUCUUUCCCCUUCUGGGAGGAGAUGCUGCUUUGAGAAGGUUGAAGUG